AAGACAGAUGUCACGAAAUUGAUCAGAAACUUUUGUAUCUUUCUUCAUCCUCCAACGUAUCUGUUUAAUGAUAUUUAACGCUAAAACGAGCGGUCUUAAUGGAUGAUCGUAAUUAAAGUCAUACGACGAGAAUAAAACAGUUGGAAAAAAGGAGAAUUAAUAGCUCGAGUGUAAAACUGAUAGCGAGGUUCGUCAGAAACUUAAAUGGCGCGUUUGGCACUUCAGAAACGGAGGAAGAGAAACCGUGAGACAUCCUCAACGUUAGAAGCGAAUGUCCAACCUGACGAACAAUUAUUUUAUUUGCAUGAAAAUUUCUUUCCAAUUCUUUCGCAAUUAGUAGAAUUUCAUCGCGCAACGGAUUAUAGUCCGAAGAGACAAUACUUUUCCUUUGAUAUUCUUCGAAUAAAAUAUUUGUCGGUAUCUGAAUUCUCCUGGUUCUGCUGCGUGUUGUGAUAUAAAAUUGUAUUAAAUGAUUAUAUUUUAUCAUUCUACGUGCUCAUUUAGCUUCGUUGGACAACCAAGAAAAUAAUUUCCUUCGUUCUUUUCUAUGUACCGAACCAUUUUAUUUAUUCAAACCGUAGCAUUGAGAGCGAAAUUGUUCGUAUAAUAGAAAUUUAGUGAUCCUUUCCCGGUACCUACGAUCUCUCGUUGUAGUAAUAAAAGUUUAUGUAAGUCAAUAAGACGAUACUCGAGAUAGGUAAAUUUACUUAGACUUUAGCAUUAACUGAAAUUUCGCAAAGUUCCACCGUGUAUAUUCGUGAAUAGGUCAAGUACUCGCUGCGACGAUGGAUCUUUAUAGAAGCCUGUUUUAUCGGAAUUAUCUGCGGCUAUCAAGGCCUUCGGUGAAUCGGGAAUGCGGUUCGAAUCUAGUUUAAUUAACAUAUUAAGAAACUGUGGCUGAAGAAACAUCAGUCCGUUGUUCUCCAACUGCAGCAUGAACACUUUGGAGGAAUUUAUCGGCUGAGGUAUCCGCG
Molecule: long non-coding RNA, 974 nt
Organism: Bombus impatiens (common eastern bumble bee)
Lineage: Eukaryota; Metazoa; Arthropoda; Insecta; Hymenoptera; Apidae
Exons: 4
Source: RefSeq, a predicted model, not a curated record